CCUGAGACUAGAGUCACAUUCCGACACAGCUCUUACCCUGGUGUGCUAGGAGUCCUCGGAGAGAAUCUGCUGAUCUUGAUUCAGUGGCAGGGGGUGAUCAGUGCCCCCACUAGUACCCUAAUCAGAAACAUGU
Molecule: small nucleolar RNA, 133 nt
Filed under: Dasypus novemcinctus (nine-banded armadillo)
Lineage: Eukaryota; Metazoa; Chordata; Mammalia; Cingulata; Dasypodidae
Description: Small nucleolar RNA SNORA3/SNORA45 family (ENSDNOG00000037125.1)
Rfam family: Small nucleolar RNA SNORA3/SNORA45 family
About the family: The members of this family belong to the H/ACA class of snoRNAs which are thought to guide the sites of modification of uridines to pseudouridines.
Source: RNAcentral